Molecule: ribosomal RNA, 205 nt
Filed under: uncultured fungus
Lineage: Eukaryota; Fungi
Description: partial small subunit ribosomal RNA
Rfam family: Eukaryotic small subunit ribosomal RNA
Source: RNAcentral
UUGGAGGGCAAGUCUGGUGCCAGCAGCCGCGGUAAUUCCAGCUCCAAUAGCGUAUAUUAAAGUUGUUGCAGUUAAAAAGCUCGUAGUUGAAUUUCGGGAUUGACACAUCGGUCGUGCCUUAAGGGGUAUGAACUGGUGUAGUCAAUUUCUCACCUUCUGGAGAACCGCGAUGCCCUUAAUUGGGUGUCACGGAAGCAGACCUAGU